GUAGUGUUUCAUCUUGGCUCUUUUUAUUGAAGACUCAGGAUCUGUGCAAUAACGUUCCAUAGGGUCUCAGAGCCCGGGAAAACGUUGAACGAUAUCGAGGCAGGCUCUGGCUGAAACACUUUAUCGCUUUUGGCAAGUGGCCACUCAGAGUACUAUGGGCUUAGGCGUGUGCCCGCUUCGACCGAAUGGUUUCUUUUCCUUUGUCUGUUUAUCUAAACGCAGAUUCCCGGUCGGAAUAUUAUCGCUUUUUUAUGAGAAAAAUGGCAUAAAAAUUGAUUUUAAACAGCGGUUGACAUGCUUCGAAGUACGGUAAUGGAAUAUUUAGAAUUCUUUUGUCACGAAUUGCGCCAUGCUCGUCACCCUUAUUUAGCCUUUAGGAUAGUGUCUAGAACGCACGAACAAAACACCGCUGUUUGGAUAUAACAAUGGAUUAUUUUGGACCAAACCAACAUUUGUUAUUGAAGUAGAAGUCCUGGGAGUGCAUUCUGACGAAGACAACAAAGGACCUGAGCCCUAGGACCAUGCCUCAGGACUACCUGGUAUGAUGACUCCUUGCUGUCCCCAGUCCACCUGACCGUGCUGCUGCUCCAGUUUCAACUGUUCUGCCUGGCGCUAUGGAACCCUGACCUGUUCACCGGACGUGCUUGUUGCACCCUCGACAACUACUAUGAUUAUUAUUAUUUGACCAUGCUGGUCAUUUAUGAACAUUUUAACAUCUUGACCAUGUUCUGUUUUAAUAUCCACCCUGCACAGCCAGAAGAGGACUGGCCACCCCUCAUAGCCUGGUUCCUCUCUAGGUUUCUUCCUAGGUUUUUGGCCUUUCUAGGGAGUUUUUCCUAGGGAGUUUUUCCUAGCCACCGUGCUUCUUUCGCACGCAUUGCUUGCUGUUUGGGGUUUUAGGCUGGGUUUCUGUACAGCACUUUGAGAUAUCAGCUGAUGUACGAAGGGCUAUAUAAAUAAAUUUGAUUUGAUUUGACCAGUAGAUCUCUACUUUACUCCCUUUUUGUUUACAAGGCCCUAAUUCAUAAACUUCCAUCUUAUCAAACUGUACUGUUAACUAUAGAUAUCUGAGUUGCCUAAUCCGUUCACAGGAUUGGGGUUCCUUGGGUCUCCACCAAGUCAGAAUUCAAAAUAUGUUUCAUCUUGAUGUUCUGGUGCCGUUCGGGCAAUUUAA
Molecule: long non-coding RNA, 1174 nt
Filed under: Salmo salar (Atlantic salmon)
Lineage: Eukaryota; Metazoa; Chordata; Actinopteri; Salmoniformes; Salmonidae
Description: lncRNA (ENSSSAG00000082161.1)
Source: RNAcentral